GACGAACGCUGGCGGCGUGCUUAACACAUGCAAGUCGUACGGUAAGGCCCUUUCGGGGGUACACGAGUGGCGAACGGGUGAGUAACACGUGAGUAACCUGCCCACAACUUUGGGAUAACGAUAGGAAACUGGUGCUAAUACUGGAUAUGUGCUCCUGCUGCAUGGUGGGGGUUGGAAAGCUCCGGCGGUUGUGGAUGGACUCGCGGCCUAUCAGCUUGUUGGUGGGGUAGUGGCCUACCAAGGCGGCGACGGGUAGCCGGCCUGAGAGGGUGACCGGCCACAUUGGGACUUAGAUACGGCCCAGACUCCUACGGGAGGCAGCAGUGGGGAAUAUUGCACAAUGGGCGCAAGCCUGAUGCAGCAACGCCGCGUGCGGGAUGACGGCCUUCGGGUUGUAAACCGCUUUCAGCAGGGACGAAGCUUUUUGUGACGGUACCUGCAGAAGAAGCACCGGCUAACUACGUG
RNAcentral lists this ribosomal RNA (465 nucleotides) under uncultured bacterium. Its description in RNAcentral is "partial 16S ribosomal RNA". It matches the Rfam family "Bacterial small subunit ribosomal RNA", at positions 28 to 507 of the family's 1533-position model. The record is from RNAcentral.